Molecule: transfer RNA, 72 nt
Filed under: Clonostachys rosea
Lineage: Eukaryota; Fungi; Ascomycota; Sordariomycetes; Hypocreales; Bionectriaceae
Rfam family: tRNA
About the family: Transfer RNA (tRNA) molecules are approximately 80 nucleotides in length. Their secondary structure includes four short double-helical elements and three loops (D, anti-codon, and T loops). Further hydrogen bonds mediate the characteristic L-shaped molecular structure. tRNAs have two regions of fundamental functional importance: the anti-codon, which is responsible for specific mRNA codon recognition, and the 3' end, to which the tRNAs corresponding amino acid is attached (by aminoacyl-tRNA synthetases). tRNAs cope with the degeneracy of the genetic code in two manners: having more than one tRNA (with a specific anti-codon) for a particular amino acid; and 'wobble' base-pairing, i.e. permitting non-standard base-pairing at the 3rd anti-codon position.
Source: RNAcentral
GCCCCUGUGGCGUAGUGGUCAACGCGCUCCGUUAAUGGUGGAGAGACCUUGGUUCGAAUCCGAGCAGAAGCA